CCCUAUGGGGCGCAGCAGUUACAUGGGCAGCAUCCGGGGAUGAUUCAGGAGUUCAUGUCCAGAAGACUUCUGUCCCUGACGCUGUAGGCACCCCUUGGUUCUAUAUUGGUAGGAAGUACGAUUCCAUACUAACAAUAACGAAUCCGUUCGUGCGAGACUCUAAGGGUAUACCUAAGACUGCCUCAAGGACAUCCUUGAAAUACAUGCAGUUCAAUCUUGCAGACACAGGGUUUCUUAAAGCGGUGGUUACAAAGAACAACGCUCCUACGUACACAACCAGCUUUGAUUCAAAGGUUAUUGGGAGUGCCUUGUACAAUCUUAACUCAGCAGCACCUUUACAGGAUGGGUACUUCAAAGUACCGAUCAGGGCGGAUUCAGAUAGGUGUAGUGUUACAUUAUCAUCUGAUUCACACUUACCGUUCUAUGUAUUGGAUGUAGAAUUGGCGGGGGGGC
This 453-nucleotide ribosomal RNA is filed under the name uncultured prokaryote. RNAcentral's name for it is "partial 16S ribosomal RNA". The record is from RNAcentral.